Molecule: ribosomal RNA, 851 nt
Filed under: uncultured bacterium
Lineage: Bacteria
Description: bacterial SSU rRNA
Rfam family: Bacterial small subunit ribosomal RNA
Source: RNAcentral
GCAGUCGUGCGANNNNCUCCUUCGGGAGGCGGAAAGCGGCGAAAGGGAGAGUAACGCGUGGAAAUCUACCCUCAGAUCUGGGAUAGCGGCGGGAAACUGCCGGUAAUACCGGAUAAUGUCUCCGGACCAAAGGUGUGAUUCCGUCCGAGGAUGAGUCCGCGUCCUAUUAGCUUGUUGGUGGGGUAAAGGCCCACCAAGGCUGAGAUGGGUACCGGGUGUGAGAGCAUGGCCCGGCUCACUGGGACUGAGACACUGCCCAGACACCUACGGGUGGCUGCAGUCGAGAAUCUUCGGCAAUGGGCGCAAGCCUGACCGAGCGACGCCGCGUGCGGGAUGAAGGCCUUCGGGUUGUAAACCGCUGUCAGAGGGAAGGAAAUGCCUGGUUUAUACCCAGGUUUGACCGAUCCUCAGAGGAAGUCCGGGCUAAGUUCGUGCCAGCAGCCGCGGUAAGACGAACCGGACGAACGUUAUUCGGAAUCACUGGGCUUAAAGAGUGCGUAGGCGGCUUGGCAAGUUGGGUGUGAAAUCCCUCGGCUCAACCGAGGAACUGCGCUCAAAACUGCCAAGCUUGAGGGAGAUAGAGGAGAGCGGAACUGAUGGUGGAGCGGUGAAAUGCGUUGAUAUCAUCAGGAACACCGGUGGCGAAAGCGGCUCUCUGGGUCUCUUCUGACGCUGANGCACGAAAGCUAGGGGANCGAACGGGAUUAGAUACCCCGGUAGUCCUAGCUGUAAACGAUGANCACUGGGUUGAGGGGACCCCCACGUCCUCUCGGCCGUAGCGAAANUGUUAAGUGCUCCGCCUGGGGAGUAUGGUCGCANGGCUGAANCUCAAAGGAAUUGACGGGGCUCAC